Molecule: non-coding RNA, 45 nt
Organism: Dendroctonus ponderosae (mountain pine beetle)
Lineage: Eukaryota; Metazoa; Arthropoda; Insecta; Coleoptera; Curculionidae
Source: Rfam
AAAUCAGUCCUUUUCAGGACUACAAAAUUUUGAAAGAAAUCAUCG